GGCGAACCGGGGGAACUGAAACAUCUAAGUACCCCGAGGAAAAGAAAUCAACCGAGAUUCCCCCAGUAGCGGCGAGCGAACGGGGAGGAGCCCAGAGCCUGAAUCAGUGUGUGUGUUAGUGGAAGCGUCUGGAAAGGCGCGCGAUACAGGGUGACAGCCCCGUACACAAAAAUGCACAUACUGUGAGCUCGAUGAGUAGGGCGGGACACGUGGUAUCCUGUCUGAAUAUGGGGGGACCAUCCUCCAAGGCUAAAUACUCCUGACUGACCGAUAGUGAACCAGUACCGUGAGGGAAAGGCGAAAAGAACCCCGGCGAGGGGAGUGAAAAAGAACCUGAAACCGUGUACGUACAAGCAGUGGGAGCCUCUUUUAUGGGGUGACUGCGUACCUUUUGUAUAAUGGGUCAGCGACUUAUAUUCUGUAGCAAGGUUAACCGAAUAGGGGAGCCGAAGGGAAACCGAGUCUUAACUGGGCGUUAAGUUGCAGGGUAUAGACCCGAAACCCGGUGAUCUAGCCAUGGGCAGGUUGAAGGUUGGGUAACACUAACUGGAGGACCGAACCGACUAAUGUUGAAAAAUUAGCGGAUGACUUGUGGCUGGGGGUGAAAGGCCAAUCAAACCGGGAGAUAGCUGGUUCUCCCCGAAAGCUAUUUAGGUAGCGCCUCGUGAAUUCAUCUCCGGGGGUAGAGCACUGUUUCGGCAAGGGGGUCAUCCCGACUUACCAACCCGAUGCAAACUGCGAAUACCGGAGAAUGUUAUCACGGGAGACACACGGCGGGUGCUAACGUCCGUCGUGAAGAGGGAAACAACCCAGACCGCCAGCUAAGGUCCCAAAGUCAUGGUUAAGUGGGAAACGAUGUGGGAAGGCCCAGACAGCCAGGAUGUUGGCUUAGAAGCAGCCAUCAUUUAAAGAAAGCGUAAUAGCUCACUGGUCGAGUCGGCCUGCGCGGAAGAUGUAACGGGGCUAAACCAUG
RNAcentral lists this ribosomal RNA (973 nucleotides) under Escherichia coli. RNAcentral's name for it is "partial 23S ribosomal RNA". It matches the Rfam family "Bacterial large subunit ribosomal RNA", at positions 178 to 1191 of the family's 2925-position model. The record is from RNAcentral. Lineage: Bacteria; Pseudomonadati; Pseudomonadota; Gammaproteobacteria; Enterobacterales; Enterobacteriaceae.